AUGUUUCUCUUGGAGGUGACAUGUGGACGUAGGCCAAUCUUCACCAGCGAGCAAAAAAAUCAGGUAUUACUGGUAGAUUGGGUGCUUGAGCACCACCAGAAUGGCUCAAUCCUCGACACGGUAGAUCCACGACUCCAAGGGGAAUUUAAUAGGGAGGAGGUAACCAUCGUGCUCAAACUAGGUUUGUUAUGCACGUACCCAUUGCCUGAUGUGCGGCCUAUUAUGCGGAAGGUCAUGCACUACCUCGACCAUGGUCAGUCGCCCCCUGAUUUAUCUCCGGCCUACAUAACCUACAUGAACCUAGUGAAAAACGAAGGGUUGAAUUCAUACAACAUGAACAGGCCAGGUUUGGGGCCCAAAAUGAGCGUUGCCACUAUAUCCUCGGCGACAAUUUUGCAAGACGGAAGAUGA
RNAcentral lists this ribosomal RNA (411 nucleotides) under Triticum aestivum (bread wheat). RNAcentral describes it as "partial small subunit ribosomal RNA". Lineage: Eukaryota; Viridiplantae; Streptophyta; Magnoliopsida; Poales; Poaceae. The record is from RNAcentral.